AUGAGUUGGUUUUCUUUUUCUUUUCUUUUUUUUUUUUUAAAUUUUAUAUUAGUUGCUUUUGCUCCGGUGAUGACUUUGAUCAGAAGCCCAUAUCGUUCCAAUUUCCGAAUCUUUUUAUAUAUUUUAUGUGUGGAAGUGGAACCGAAGAGAUUCUGAGGAGCUUUCUUCACCUUAUAUUUCCCUCUUCGUUUUUUCUUUCUUUCGUUCUCCAUUUCUCUUUUUUUUUUUUUUUUUUUUCUUUUUUUUCUUUUUGUGUUUUUUUUGGGGGGGUUGGGAUUUUAUGAGCUGUUUUCCUAUUACUGCUGAAUGCCCGUUCAAUACUAUGAUGAAUUGGUGAUAAUACAUUUGUUACCUCCUUAUAUAAUGAUGUAAGGUAUACAAUUGUUCGAUGAAAAUUCAAUGACUGUAAAAAUAUAAAAUAACAGAAUUUUUUUUUUACAACGGUUAGAUUUUUAUCGAAUGGUUACAGGAGAAUUAUGUAUCUUACAUAAUAAUAUAAGAUAAUAAGUUCAUGAUGAUAGAGUCGCAGACAAACACGAAGAAAUU
Molecule: long non-coding RNA, 546 nt
Filed under: Citrus sinensis (sweet orange)
Lineage: Eukaryota; Viridiplantae; Streptophyta; Magnoliopsida; Sapindales; Rutaceae
Description: long non-coding RNA (CSIN_LNC003117)
Source: RNAcentral